RNAcentral lists this transfer RNA (67 nucleotides) under Anopheles peryassui. RNAcentral describes it as "tRNA-Phe". It matches the Rfam family "tRNA". Rfam says of the family: Transfer RNA (tRNA) molecules are approximately 80 nucleotides in length. Lineage: Eukaryota; Metazoa; Arthropoda; Insecta; Diptera; Culicidae. RNAcentral also lists the same sequence under 1 other name. The record is from RNAcentral.
AUUUAAAUAGCUUAUAUUUAGAGCAUAACACUGAAGAUGUUAGGGAGAUUAAUUUAAUCUUUAAAUA